AGAGUUUGAUCCUGGCUCAGAACGAACGCUGGCGGCGCGUUUUAAGCAUGCAAGUCGAACGGUAGAAAGGUGCUUGCACCUUUUGAGAGUGGCGAACGGGUGAGUAACACGUAGGUAAUCUACCUUGGGAUUGGGGAUAGCCCAUGGAAACAUGGGGUAAUACCGGAUAUGGUCUUGACUUCAAAAGGAGUUAAGAAGAAAGAAGCGAUUGCUUCGUCCUAAGAUGAGCCUGCGGCCCAUUAGUUAGUUGGUGGGGUAAUGGCCUACCAAGGCAGCGAUGGGUAGCCGGCCUGAGAGGGUGACCGGCCACAUUGGGACUGAGACACGGCCCAGACUCCUACGGGAGGCAGCAGCUAAGAAUCUUCCGCAAUGGGCGAAAGCCUGACGGAGCGACGCCGCGUGAACGAAGAAGGCCGAAAGGUUGUAAAGUUCUUUUCUUAGUGAAGAAUAAUGAUUGGAGGAAAUGCCAGUCAGAUGACGUUAUCUAAGGAAUAAGCCCCGGCUAAUUACGUGCCAGCAGCCGCGGUAACACGUAUGGGGCAAGCGUUGUUCGGACUUAUUGGGCGUAAAGGGCGUGUAGGCGGUUUAUCAAGCCUGGUGUGAAAUACCUCAGCUUAACUGGGGAAACGCGCUGGGAACUGAUUAACUAGAGUUUGAGAGGGGAGACUGGAAUUCCAGGUGUAGGGGUGAAAUCUGUAGAUAUCUGGAAGAACACCGGUGGCGAAGGCGAGUCUCUGGCUCAUGACUGACGCUGAGGCGCGAAAGCGUAGGGAGCGAACAGGAUUAGAUACCCUGGUAGUCUACGCUGUAAACGAUGUGCACUAGGUGUUGGGCAGUUAUGUUCAGUGCCGUAGUUAACGCGUUAAGUGCACCGCCUGGGGAGUAUGCCCGCAAGGGUGAAACUCAAAGGAAUUGACGGGGGCCCGCACAAGCGGUGGAGCAUGUGGUUUAAUUCGACGAUACGCGAGAAACCUUACCAGGGUUUGACAUAUAAGCCGAAGUCCAAGAGAUUGGGCUGGCCUUUGGGCGGCUUAUACAGGUGCUGCAUGGUUGUCGUCAGCUCGUGCCGUGAGGUGUUGGGUUAAGUCCCGCAACGAGCGCAACCCCUGCUGUCUGUUACUACCAGGUAAUGCUGAGGACUCAGGCGGAACUGCCGGUGACAAACCGGAGGAAGGUGGGGACGACGUCAAAUCAUCAUGGCCCUUAUGUCCUGGGCUACACACGUGCUACAAUGGCCAGUACAGAGCGAGGCGAAACCGUGAGGUGGAGCAAAACGCAGAAAUCUGGUCUCAGUUCGGAUUGGAGUCUGAAACUCGACUUCAUGAAGUUGGAAUCGCUAGUAAUCGCGCAUCAGCAUGGCGCGGUGAAUACGUUCCCGGGCCUUGUACACACCGCCCGUCACACCACCCGAGUUGGAAGUACCCGAAGUCGCUAGUCUAACCGUCAAGGAGGACGGUGCCGAAGGUACGUCUGGUAAGGGGGGUGAAGUCGAAACAAGGUA
RNAcentral lists this ribosomal RNA (1501 nucleotides) under metagenome. RNAcentral describes it as "bacterial SSU rRNA". It matches the Rfam family "Bacterial small subunit ribosomal RNA". The record is from RNAcentral.